This 254-nucleotide ribosomal RNA is filed under the name uncultured bacterium. RNAcentral describes it as "partial 16S ribosomal RNA". It matches the Rfam family "Bacterial small subunit ribosomal RNA", at positions 524 to 776 of the family's 1533-position model. The record is from RNAcentral.
UACGUAGGGUCCGAGCGUUGUCCGGAUUUAUUGGGCGUAAAGAGCUCGUAGGCGGUUCCGUAAGUCGGAUGUGAAAACUCAGGGCUCAACCCGGAGACGCCAUCCGAUACUGCGGUGACUGGAGUCUGGUAGGGGAUCACGGAAUACCUGGUGUAGCGGUGAAAUGCGCAGAUAUCAGGUGGAACACCGAUGGCGAAGGCAGUGAUCUGGGCCAGUACUGACGCUGAGGAGCGAAAGCGUGGGGAGCAAACAGG